This is a non-coding RNA of Callithrix jacchus (white-tufted-ear marmoset), 9270 nucleotides long. Lineage: Eukaryota; Metazoa; Chordata; Mammalia; Primates; Cebidae. The record is from RefSeq and is a predicted model, not a curated record.
GCCUGCCGCGCGCGCGGCCCCGCUCUCCUGCCAGGCCCGCGCGCUCACCGUUGGGGCCGUAGCGCUCCCGCGCCUCGGUCACCUGCUCGGGGCUCAGGCCGCCCUCGGCUGUCACCGAGAAGUGGCGCAGCACGUCGGCGGCCGGGAGCAGUCCCCACCCAGGGGGUGUUCUUCCCCAGAACCUCUAGCAGGGAACCGGCGCAGAAGAAAGUUCAGAAAACCCGGCUGGUUACCCUAGACUCACGCCGUCACCCCAGCAGGAAAUGUGACCAGGGAGCAGGGGUGUGGCUCCCCAGAGGGGCCCGAGGGGUGCGGUGGGGGGCUUUCCCCAGGGCUCCCAGGGGACUGACCCCGGCCCAGGGAGGGCGAGGGAUGGAGGAGCCACUAUUCCAGCGCUCCCCCCGCUCCGGGAGUGCCUGGAGUAGCGGCUUCGGGGCAGAGGAGGAAGUCGCAGGAAGGCAGAAACCACGCGCCAGGCCAAAAGGAGGAGAUAGGAGAACAACCUGAUCGCAGCUCCCUCCAGCUUGACUCAGACAGCCUCCCCCGCGCCUCGGCCUCCACCUGCCUCCCCCGCGAACUGGGCUCUGCGUCUAGAGCCUCAGCCUCUGCCACCCACCAAGGCUGCACCGGGUCACAGAUGCCAGGAUUGAGCCCGCACAGCUGGCUGUUCAAACCCCAAACCCUUCGUGCCCCGCAGCCAGGAGCUUUCCGCCCCUACAACACAGCCCCACCCCGCCGCCCACUCCUGAGAGCCUCAACUUCCAGCCUUGCCUGGAGCGGCUAACCCCCACCCAGAUCAUGCACACCCCAGCUUCUGUGCUCUUCCUCCCGGGACCGGACCGGGAUCUUCCUCCUUUCUGCCUCUCAGAGCCUUCCUGAGCAAAGACAUUCCCUGAGGACUGGCUGGAGAAGGGUUCUUCGUGGCUUUUGGUUGGUGGUCCAGGUGGAUACUCGGUAUCAGCUGCACCCCAGCCUGCUGCUGUGGAGCUAGAGGAAUGCUGGUCUUCUGGCUGUGGCUCCUCCCAGCCUGCUAUUUUAUGUAUUGUUUUCAUUAUUAUUAUUUUUUUCUUUUUUUUCCGACGGAGUCUUCCUCUGUCACCAGACUGGAGUGCAGCGUUGACAUCUCAGCUCACUGCAACUUACACCUCCCCGGUCCAAGUGAUUCUCCUGUGUCAGCCUCCCGAGAACCUGGGAUUACAGAUUUCCAUCACUGGUGAUAUUUACAUUGGAAUUAUGCCCAGGACUUCAGGAACCCAGCAUGGGGGGCUUCUGUCAAUUGCAAGUCCCUGCUGAAAAGCAAAGAUAAAGAUGAAAAUGAAGAUGAAGAUGAAGAGAGGGAAGGCCUCUCUUCCCUCCAGAGGCUCAGAGUCUGCGGUGGUGGGUAAGCAGCAGGUACCUAGUCAUAUGUGCUAGCUGAGAGCACUCUCUACGGGAACAGAUCUGGGAUGAGAUCCUUGCCAGUUACCAGCUGUGUGAUCUCUGGCAAGCUACAAAGUAUAUGUGAGUGUUGGUUUCGUCAUCUGUAAAAUGGAAGUAAUAAUACAUCCCACCUCAGUGGGGUUUGUGAGUUUGAGAAGAGACCUGACAGUGGCAGCUGGCAGUGCAGCAGAGAUGACAGCCCUUUUGCUAAUGGAAGCCUGAAGCUGCUCCAGGUAGCAAAAGCGCCAGGCCCGGUGCAUGAAUCAUGAGUGGGCUAAUCCGUUGACAGCGAAGCCUUUCUCUCUGCUGGAUACUGGCUUUCCCAGCUUCCCUGGCAGCUAAGGGUGGCCAUGUGACCCUCCUCUGGCCAUUGAGUUAUAAGAGGAAGUCUGCUGGACUUCCUCAAUAAAAUACAGAGGCGGAAGCCUUUGCUUUCCCUACUUCCUGCCUGUGAUGAGCUUCUGAAGCUGAAAGUCCAGCAGCUGUUUUGUGCCCACGAGGCCUCCAGCUUGAGGAUGUAAAACCCUCACACGGAGGAUGGCCGAGCAGGGGGAUGGGGGCAUUGCUGAGCUGCAAAAUAGCCUGAGAUUACUGACUUCCAGACUUCUUGUUCUGAGAGUAUCUUCUUCUUAUUAUUAUUAUUUUGAGAUAGGGUCUCACUCUGUCUCCCAAGCUGCAGUACAGUGGCACAAUCUCGGCUCACUGCAACCUAUACCUGCUGGACACUGGCAGUCCUCCUAUCUCGGCCUCCCAAAGUGCUGUGAUUACAGGCAUGAGCUUCUGAGCCUGGCAGAGAGAUGAUCUUAAAAGCCUUUAUUUGCUGGGCCUAGUGGCUCAUGCCUAUAAUCCCGGCACGUUGGGAGGCCAAGGCAGGCGGAUCACAAGGUCAGGAGUUCGAGACCAGCCUGGCCGAUAUUGUGAAACCCCAUCUCUACAAAAAUACAAAAAAUUGCCAGGCACAGUGGCUCACACCAGUAAUCCCAGCACUUUGAGAGGCCGAGGCAGGCAGAUCAUGAGGUCAGGAGAUCGAGACCAUCCUGGCCAACAUGGUGAAAACCCGUCUCUACUAAAAAUACAAAAAAUUAGCUGGGCGUGGUGGCGCGUGCCUGUAGUUCCAGCUGCUCGGGCGGCUGAGGCAGGAGAAUUGCUUGAACCCAGGAGGCGGAGGUUGCAGUGAGCUGAGAUCGUGCCACUGCACUCCAGCCUGGCGACAGAGCGAGACUCCGUCUCAAAAAAAAACAAAAAACAAAAAGUUAGCCGGGUGUAGUGGUGUGCACUUGUAAUCCCAGCUACUCGGGAGGCUGAGGCAGGAGAAUCACUUGAGGUUGCAGUGAGCUGAGAUUGCACUACUGCACCCCAGCCUGGGAGAAAGAGUGAUACUCCAUCUAAAAAUAAAGCCUUUAUUAUUCAAAGCAAUUGGGUUCUGGGUGGUCUACUCCUUCCAGCUGAACACACCCGAGUGCUAUAGACCCUUAGCACCCCGCUUGGCACUCGGGAAAUGCUCAUUAAAUACCAGCUGUGGCAUCACAGAGAUGUCACAGCCUGGUCGCCUUUAUUUCUGUGCUCUGCAGGUAGACAGGAAGUGAGGAGGGGAGAGUCUGCGGUGUGGGUGACCCCACCUACCUUUCCACUCUAUGGCUGGGUGUGGUGGAGCCACGGCACCUCACAGGGUACAGAUGGCUUCCGGCACAAGAUCCACUGAAGAAACCAAAUUCUACUGGGCUCAGCGAGGCUACUGUAACUGACAGGUGCCGGCAUCGUGCCCCCACCUCUUCCUGGAGGUUUCAAGGGUAAUUCCGCGCACUCCCAGGCCUCAUGCUCCAACUCUGGAAUGGUGGAGGAAACAUCGUGGUGUUGUGUUUGAGUCAGAAUUGCCAGAGGUGCUCGUUACCCCACUGGAUGGAGCAGCUGAAGGAGAGCUGACAGGUGGCGGGGCUGACCCCACACUAGAGGUUCCUUACUGAGAACAAAGAAAGACAAAGGGAGAAACUUGGCCUCCGUGACCAUUAUAGUCUUAAUUUAUGAAGGAACACUGUAUGCCACAAUGGACCCUCCUGUGACUUCAUUCAGUGUUCUAGCCCAAAGUUAACACAGGCUUGGGAGGGAGAUGACGUCUGAGGAGGUGGCAGCAUUCAUAUGAAAUGUCAGUGGAGGUUACACCGGGCGUGGUGCCUCACGCCUGUAAUCCCAGCACUUUCAGAGGCUGAGAUGUGCAGAUCACCUAAGAUCAGGGGUUUGAGACCACCCUGGCCAACUAAAAAUACAAAAAUUAGCCGGGCAUGGUGGCAGGUGCCUGUAAUCCCAGCUACUCGGGAGGCUGAGGUAGGAGAAUUACUUGAACCAGGGAGGCAGAGGUUGCAGGGAGCCAAGAUCAUGCCAUUGCACUCCAGUCUGGGCGACAGAGCGAGACUCCAUCUUACAGUCAGGGACAGAGCCACCAAGAGGAAUACAUUUGGAGUCUUGGCCCCUAAGGCUUUCUUUUUAGCUUCUCAGUUUGCAAAUAUUCUGUAGUUUUUGUUUUAUUUUGUUUUUCUCAAGGAGGUAGAGCUGUGUAGAGGUGGGAGUUAGGGGCACGGGCCCUGCUCUCGAUUUGCCUAUCUGAGCAAUGGGAACAAUGCCCAGCUCCACCUCCCCUGAUGUUGCAUGGGUCUGUGGGGCGAGCUCAGAGUGCAGAGCCUGUUGGUGAAAAUGCAUUGUUCCAGGCGUCCUUGGCGCCAGCCAUGUAGCUCUGCCCUCAUGCAGAGAAGGGCACCUGAGUGCGCAGAUGAGGAAUGGGAGGGCCUUGAGCCAUCUUGCCCAGUCCGCGAGGUGCUGAUGGAUGCAGCGUGCAAUGCAUCAGACAUCUCAGAGACAGAGAGACGCAUCGCCAAUCCAGCACCCUGCAGAGCUAUCAGGAAGCCGAUGGUGGCUCUGCACCUCCCCCUGUGAAUGGCAAGGCAGUAGACCCCAGGGUGUUUGACCGGGAAAGGGCCUCUGAGUCACCUCCGCCCACCUCCCCCUUGUACAGUGGGAGAUGAGGCCAGGGAGGCUGGGACGGCUUCCCAAGGUGACAGGCGGGGCCAUGCAGAGAGGAAAAGACUCAGCAUUGAAGAAACAGGCAGCGCUGUCGGAAGGACGCCAGUGAAGGUGAGUGAAAACAGUGUACACUUGUGCAGGCAUUUUCUACAGUAAACACCCAGGGAAGAGCCACAGAGGAGGGCCCACAUGGGCUGGGGGCACUGCCGCGGUGGCCACACUCUUGCUCACCUGCAGUGACACCAGGACGUGGCCUCAGCUCAACCAGCGCGCACAGUGGAGAAGCACCUGGACCCCAGAUGCACGGGCCACGGGCUGUGGCUUGGGAUGGGAAAGGAUCUCCCUAUCAAUAUAAUAAAUGUACAGGCCGGGCAUGGUGGCUCACGCCUGUACGCCCACCACUUUGGGAGGCUGAGGCAGGUGGAUCACUGGAGUCCACUUCUAGACCAUCCUGGGUAACAUAGUCAGACCCCAUCUCUACAAAAAAGAAAGAAAGAAAAAUAGAAAAAUUGGCUCCAUGUGUUGGCAGGAACCUGUAAUCUCAGCUACUCAGGAGGCUGAGGUAGGAGGAUCACCUGAGCCUGGGGAGGUCGAGGCUGCAGUGAGCUGUGAUGGCACCAGCCAGGGCCACAGAAUGAGACCCUAUCUCAAAACAAAAACAAAAACAAAACCCAGAAAUGUAUUAGCUGGGGGUGCCCUUAGCUGCCUAUUAAACUAACAGAAGGUAAAUGAAUAUAUUAAAACCCGGAGCUGUAGGGCGGGAAGGAAAGAAGACUGGUCAUCUCUUGGACACUCUGGCCCCAUGGAACACACUGCACAUCCUUUGAUCUGGUCUUUCUUGAAUUCCUUUUCUUUUUGAGACGGAGUCUCACUCUGUUACCCAGGCUGGAGUGCAGUGGCGAGAGCUUGGCUCACCGCAACCUCUGCUUCCCGGGUUCAAGUGAUUCUUCUGCCUCAGCCUCCUGAGUAGCUGGGAUUACAGGCACCCACCACUACACCCAGCUAAUUUUUGUGUUUUUAGUAGAGACAGGGUUUCAUCAUGUUGAUCAGGCUGGUCUCAAAGUCCUGACCUCUAGUGAUCUGCCCACCUUGGCCUCCCAAAGUGCUGGGAUUACAGGCGUGAGCCACCGUGCCCAGUUGAGCUGGUCCUUUUCGUUGUUGGGUUUUUUGUUGUUUUUUUUUUAAGAUAGAGUCUAGCUCUGUCAGCCAGGCUGGAGUGCAGUGGCUCAAGUGAUUUUCCUCCUCAGACUCCCGAGUAGCUGGGAUUACAGGCACAUGCCACCACACCUGCCUAAUUUUUUGUAUUUUUAAACGGGGUUUCACCAUGUUUGCCAGGCUGGUCUUGAACUCCUGACCUCAUGAUCCACCUGCCUCAGCCUCCCAAAGCCUGGGCUUACAGACUCAAACACUGCCCGGUCCUGAGCUGGGCCUUCUAACCUGAGACAGUACCAACUCUCUGCCCCUCUCUUCUUCCUGCUCUUCCCGUCUUCACUCCCCGACCCUAGUCAACGAAGACAGCGUCUGCUGCCCAGAUGAUGUUUGAGCAAUCUCCCCAGUCCUGACCCCAGGCUUGGUCUGCUCUGGAGCUUUCCCUCCCACCCAGAGCCCAGAUCUCAGUAAAGAUGCAUCACAGAGCCCUGAACGCCAGCCCCGGGGCUGAACAGCAAGGCGCUCACCAGCAGCCAAGGGUAGACACUGGAGCCCUGCCGCUCAGCCCAGCCGGGGCACCAGGAAGCACAUGCCCAGCACCCGGCCAGCAGACAUGGCCUGCACAUCAAGGGGAGAGCCCUGGGUGCUGCCACCGCCUCCUCACUUAAACUCCACCAGGGCGUCGUCGAAACUGGAGAAACCCCAGAGGCAGACAACCCUGCCUGGGAACACCUGUCCUGCCCGCUCCACUUGGGAGAGAGGCUCUGUCUGCCCUCCGGUGGGGGGGCCCUUGCAGGCUGCAGGAAUUCGAGGUGUGGCUGCUCAAGAACAUGGCCGGACUUGGGCAGGGGGUGGGUGGUGGAAGAGCCCCUGCCCGCUGCUGGAGAAGGUCCCUGGCCUCAGCUGUGGCCCUAACUGGGCAGGGACACCUUGGUCCUAAGCAGACAGUCUCCUACCUGUCAACCUCCGUGCAUCCACAGUGCAGUUCUCAGGUAGGCUUCCCCUAAAUGAGGGUCUCCCCCAUCCUCCACCACCUGAUGGGGACGUGGGGCCAGGCCCGCCUAAGGGCUCUGGGCUUGCCCCUCCCCCAACUGCGCCUGGCAAGUCCCCCCCACCUUCCGGCUGUCUGCUUUUGUGAGGCAUCUCCUGUUACAAGGGAACCAGAAGCACCUGCUCUAGGAUGUUCAGACCCCCACCCAGCGCUGGGACAGACACACAGACACGUUGUGAUCAGACACAGAAGUGGCCCUGGACGCCCUCUCUAGUCAGCUCCCCCACACCUCCCAGCUGUCUGCCCUCAUGCCCCCAGCUGGCACAAGACUGGCCUGGAAGCCAGGAGAACCAUUCCAGGGUACACCUGGGGCCCCAACCUACUGUGCAAAUCCCAGCAAACCCCAUCCGCCUCUGGCCCUCAGCUUCCUCUCUUGCAUGGAGGCUUGGGGGAGGUGUACUGGGGGGACCAGCUGGCCUGUGAGGCUCUUUCCCUCCGGUUCCAGGCCUGUGGUGGUCCACAUUGUCUUAGGGGAAGACUUUUGCCCAGAGGAAACCUUCCCCAGAGAAUCAGGGACUGCUCUGGCCGCGAUGGCCACACACAGGGCCUCCCAAGGAGACAGAGCCUGCCUUGCCAGUUGCUGAGCCCUGGGGAGUCCUGGCCUUCUCUGCCUCAGUGACCCUGUUAAUACAGCCAGGCCUGGACAAGGAGGGUCUCACUAGCUCUUUGAGCUCCCCAACUCCAGGGACUCAAAAACCUCCCCGGCUGCACCUCUGACCUCCUCAAGGGCUGCCAGGACCACCAGAACCCCUGGGACCGCAGCCCGUCCCCUACUUCCAGCCUUCACGCCUCCACCCAGCCUUCACCCACCACCCCCCUGCAGGUCUCUGGGUUCACCCUCGGCCCUUUCUCUAUGUUUACUGAAGGCAGAUGUGAGGAGUGAGUGGGGGAGGCCAGCAGGAAGCCAGCCACACUCUGGGAUCUGCCAGAGAAAAAGAAGCCCCUGAAGGUCCAGCAGAAGCUGAGCUUGAUGUGGUGGAGGAGGCUGCUCUCUUUCCAUUGCAAGGGGCAGAAGCCUGAUUGCAAUGGGUUGAAGCACAAGGGGAAAAUUAUUGGCUUAUUUCACGGAAAAGUCCAGGGAAUGGAUGGCUUCAGGAUUGGCAGGAUCAAGGGCUCUCAGGUGACAUCUUUAAGAAUUUACCUCUCAGCUGGGUGCAGUGGUUCCUGCCUGUAAUCCUAGCACUCUGGGAGGCAGAGGCAGGAGAAUCAUUUGAGCCCAGGAGUUCAAGACCAGCCUGGGCAACACAGCAAGACCCCAUCUCAGCCACAUCCAACAUCCCACUUGAGUGACCCCCCCCCCACCCCGCCAGGAGAUUCUGUUUGCCAAUGGUUUAAUCAAAAGCCUUUGAUUUGAGGCUAGACGUGGUGAUUCACGCCUGUAAUACCAGCAUUUGGGGAGUCCAAGGUGGGUGGAUCACCUGAGGUUGGGAGUCGGAGACCAGCCUCACCAACAUGGAGAAACCCUGUGUCUACUAAAAAUACAAAAUUAGCCAGGUGUGGUAGCUCAUACCUGUAAUCCCAGAUAGUGGGGAGGCUGAGGCAGGAGAAUCGCUUGAACCUGGGAGGUGGAGGUUGUAGUGAGCCAAGAUAGUGCCAUGGCACUCCAGACUGGGCAACAGAGCAAGACUCCAUCUCAAAAAAAAAAAAACCAUCUUUGAUUUGAUUCUCCUAAUGGGCUCUCAAAGGAUAUGGGUUCUGCGCCCAUCCCUGGACCAGUCCCUCAGAUGCUCCAAUUGGUUACAUGGAGUCAUACGCUCUGAGGCCAGUGCAGGAGGUCAGGGGAGGGGGUACCCAAAAGACAGUCAAGGUGCAGACGUUGGAAGAAGGGGUGCUGAGCAGGCAGGAGCAGGAUGGCCACUGCUGCUGGCUGGGAUCUCCUUCUGUGGGUACCAAGUGGAGUCCUGCUCUGUAUGAGCUGUGGUGAGCUCCAGAGUGGAGCAAAGGAACCACCAAGUGCCCGGUCCCAGGCCAGCCCCAAGCACCAAGUAGCAUCCACAGCUGUGGGGGUGUGCUGAAAGCAGAGCAGCCCAGAGACUCAGCCUCUCAGACGACGCAGAGGCUGGGAGAGGGCCUGUGGCCUCAGCAGACAAGUCCUUCCUGGGUGGCUGGGAGAUUCUUAAGGGAAAUGACAUUUGACCCGUAUUCUUAGAAACAGGAAGUGGUAGCUUCCUGAGAGCAAACUGACCUCAUCCCUGAGCCCUGAGAUGGCCCCUGGGUCCAACCACUUCCAAAGUGAUGUGGCCACCUCUCACGCAGGGAAGCAUUGGGGCCAAUCCACAUUUAUUUACUUAUUUAAUUUAUUUUUUUGAGACAGAGUCUUGCUCUGUUGCCCAGACUGGAGUGCAGUGGUGUGAUCUCAGCUCACUGUGACCUCCACCUCCCGAGAUCAAGCGAUUUUCCUACCUCAGCCUUCUGAAUAGCUGGGAUUCCAGGCAUGCGCCACCAUGCCUGGCUAAUUUUUUGUACUUUUAGUAGAGACGGGGCUUUGCCAUGUUGGCAACACUGGUCUCAAACUCCUGACCUCUGGUGAUCCACUCGCCUUGGCCUCCCAGAGUGCUGGGAUUACAGACCUGAGCCACUGUGCCUGGCUGCUUUGUUUAUACUUCUGUUCUCAAAGUGAAUCAUCAUCUGUUUAA